RNAcentral lists this transfer RNA (74 nucleotides) under Danionella translucida. It matches the Rfam family "tRNA". Rfam says of the family: Transfer RNA (tRNA) molecules are approximately 80 nucleotides in length. RNAcentral also lists the same sequence under 1 other name. Lineage: Eukaryota; Metazoa; Chordata; Actinopteri; Cypriniformes; Danionidae. The record is from Rfam by way of RNAcentral.
GGCCUGUUGGCUCAGCUGGUUAGAGCGUGGUGCUAAAAACGCCAAGUUCGUGGGUUCGAUCCCCACAUGGGCCA